AGUGGUGCUGGGAGUGUCGUGGACGUCGUGCCGUUACUCGUAGUCAGGCGGCGGCGCAGGCGGCGGCGGCGGCAUAGCGCACAGCGCGCCUUAGCAGCAGCGGCAGCAGCAGCAGCAUCGGAGGUACCCCCGCCGUCGCAGCCCCCGCGCUGGUGCAGCCACCCUCGCUCCCUCUGCUCUUCCUCCCUUCGCUCGCACCAUGGCUGAUCAGCUGACCGAAGAACAGAUUGCUGGUAAGUUCACAACUCCAAGGAGUCCGCAGAAGGCCAGAACUAGGCACUGACUCAGUUUUGGUGACUCCUCUGUUCCUCCCCUCUACAGUCUGGGCAGUUUUCUAAGAAUUUAUUUAAGAACAGUAAGCAGAAACAUUGAGGUCAGAUGUUAUUCUUGCCAGUACUUUAUAGAUGAGGUGAAAGGAAGUAAAACUAAGGAUGCCCACAUGUUAAACUCUGGAGAAUUUGACCAUGUUUCACAAUGUGCAAAGUUUGCGUGUGAUUAAAUUGUACUGAGCCUGCUACUCAACAAUUUAGUUUACAGUUCUUAUGCCAUGGGUCUUUCAGUAAUCU
RNAcentral lists this small RNA (566 nucleotides) under Pongo abelii (Sumatran orangutan). Its description in RNAcentral is "retained intron". The record is from RNAcentral. Lineage: Eukaryota; Metazoa; Chordata; Mammalia; Primates; Hominidae.